Molecule: ribosomal RNA, 418 nt
Filed under: Acanthamoeba sp. RAC089
Lineage: Eukaryota; Discosea; Longamoebia; Acanthamoebidae
Description: SSU rRNA
Rfam family: Eukaryotic small subunit ribosomal RNA
Source: RNAcentral
AAAAUUAGAGUGUUCAAAGCAGGCAGAUCCAAUUUUCCUGCCACCGAAUACAUUAGCAUGGGAUAAUGGAAUAGGACCCUGUCCUCCUAUUUUCAGUUGGUUUGCCGCGAGGACCAGGGUAAUGAUUAAUAGGGAUAGUUGGGGGCAUUAAUAUUUAAUUGUCAGAGGUGAAAUUCUUGGAUUUAUGAAAGAUUAACUUCUGCGAAAGCAUCUGCCAAGGAUGUUUUCAUUAAUCAAGAACGAAAGUUAGGGGAUCGAAGACGAUCAGAUACCGUCGUAGUCUUAACCAUAAACGAUGCCGACCAGCGAUUAGGAGACGUUGAAUACAAAACACCACCAUGCGCAUUGCGGUCGUCUUUGGUGUGUCGCUCACAAGGCGGCAUCAUCGGGACGGCUUAGCUCGCAUGGCACCGGUGAA